RNAcentral lists this ribosomal RNA (403 nucleotides) under bacterium. RNAcentral describes it as "partial 16S ribosomal RNA". It matches the Rfam family "Bacterial small subunit ribosomal RNA", at positions 355 to 776 of the family's 1533-position model. The record is from RNAcentral.
UGGGGUAUAUUGCACAAUGGAGGGAACUCUGAUGCAGCGACGCCGCGUGAACGAAGAAGGCUUUCGAGUCGUAAAGUUCUUUUAUAUGGGAAGAUAAUGACGGUACCAUAAGAAGAAGCCCCGGCUAACUACGUGCCAGCAGCCGCGGUAAUACGUAGGGGGCUAGCGUUGUCCGGAAUCACUGGGCGUAAAGGGUUCGCAGGCGGAAAUGCAAGUCAGGUGUAAAAGGCAGUAGCUUAACUACUGUAAGCAUUUGAAACUGCAUAUCUUGAGAAGAGUAGAGGUAAGUGGAAUUUUUAGUGUAGCGGUGAAAUGCGUAGAUAUUAAAAAGAAUACCGGUGGCGAAGGCGACUUACUGGGCUCAUUCUGACGCUGAGGAACGAAAGCGUAGGUAGCAAACAGG